Molecule: ribosomal RNA, 253 nt
Filed under: uncultured bacterium
Lineage: Bacteria
Description: partial 16S ribosomal RNA
Rfam family: Bacterial small subunit ribosomal RNA
Source: RNAcentral
UACGAGUGCCCCAAGCGUUAUCCGGAAUCAUUGGGCGUAAAGGGUGUGUAGGUGGUGUUGUUAGUCUUCUGUUAAAAUCUUGGGCUCAACCCAAGGCCUGCAGGGGAAACGGCAAUACUCGAGGGUGCGAGAGGUGAAUGGAACUCAUGGGGUAGGGGUGAAAUCCGUUGAUAUCAUGGGGAACACCGAAAGCGAAGGCAAUUCACUGGCGCAUUCCUGACACUGAAACACGAAAGCGUGGGUAGCGAACGGG